GUGUCCUUCGUCUAGAGGCUAGGACACCGCCCUUUCACGGCGGUAACAGGGUUCGAAUCCUAGGGGACGCCA
RNAcentral lists this transfer RNA (72 nucleotides) under Serratia marcescens. RNAcentral describes it as "tRNA-Glu". It matches the Rfam family "tRNA". From Rfam's summary of the family: Transfer RNA (tRNA) molecules are approximately 80 nucleotides in length. Lineage: Bacteria; Pseudomonadati; Pseudomonadota; Gammaproteobacteria; Enterobacterales; Yersiniaceae. The record is from RNAcentral.